UGCCCAGCCCGCCCAGGCUCCGGGCGCUGUGACUUCGCGCCGCUGUGUGCGCCUCCCCGAGCGCCGGCUGCGCCCCCCAGCCCGGCCCGGGGCCUACCGCCUGCCCGGCCCCCUGCCACUGCCAGGAGGACGGCAUCAUGCUGUCUGCCGACUGCUCUUGAGCUUGGGCUGUCCGCCAUACCGGGGGACCUGGAUCCCCUGACGGCUUACCUAGCAGUGCCCAGGAUGGUGGCUGAGGGUAAAGCUGACAGAACUGGAGGUGGAGGUGAGGGGAGCGUGCCCCAGUGGGGUGGAAAUAAUGUCUGUUCUUCUGCCAUGGCUGCUCAGGACUGAGGCUGAGACGGGCGACCAGGACGGGAUUGUAUGGCUGCAGGAGGCUACACAGUCCCAGGAGGCUGCUUCUAAGAUGCCCACGUGGCCUGCAUAGGGAUGCGCCUGGCUGUCCAGCAUGUGGUCAUUUGAAUUGUACAUGUUUCACUGGGAUGCCUACAGAAAAGUAGACAGAAGAUGUGGAAAAAGUUUUUGAAAUGUUGCAAACUUAGCUACUUUUAAAAUAAAAAAAUAGCUUUAUAAUUAUAAAAGCAAUAUGUAAAUCUUAAAAUAAUUUGCUACAUUCUAGUAAGCAUCUUAUGAUCUCUAUGUGCCCUAUAACAUUAUGUUGUAUAGUUUAAAUAUAUACAAUAAAAUCUAUUUUAAAAAAUA
This 702-nucleotide long non-coding RNA is filed under the name Pan troglodytes (chimpanzee). RNAcentral describes it as "lincRNA". Lineage: Eukaryota; Metazoa; Chordata; Mammalia; Primates; Hominidae. The record is from RNAcentral.